This 79-nucleotide non-coding RNA is filed under the name Syntrophaceticus schinkii. Its description in RNAcentral is "Glycine". It matches the Rfam family "Glycine riboswitch aptamer". Rfam says of the family: This family represents the bacterial glycine riboswitch. The record is from RNAcentral. Lineage: Bacteria; Bacillati; Bacillota; Clostridia; Thermoanaerobacterales; Thermoanaerobacterales Family III. Incertae Sedis.
AGGCUCUGGAAAGUGUUUGACACGCCGAAGGGGCAAGCCUUUGUGGCGAAUCUCUCAGGUAAUAUACAGAGCACAGGGG